AACCGAGAACUCCUACGGGAGGCAGCAGUGGGGAAUAUUGGGCAAUGGGCGCAAGCCUGACCCAGCAACGCCGCGUGAGGGAAGAAGGUCUUCGGAUUGUAACCCUCUGUCCUUGGGGACGAAAAAAAUGACGGUACCCGAGGAGGAAGCUCCGGCUAACUACGUGCCAGCAGCCGCGGUAAUACGUAGGGAGCGAGCGUUGUCCGGAAUUACUGGGCGUAGAGGGUGCGUAGGCGGUAUGGCAAGUCAGAUGUGAAAUCCCCGGGCUUAACUCGGGUGGUGCAUUUGAAACUGCUGUACUUGAGUGCAGGAGAGGAAAGCGGAAUUCCUAGUGUAGCGGUGAAAUGCGUAGAUAUUAGGAGGAACACCAGUGGCGAAGGCGGCUUUCUGGACUGUAACUGACGCUGAGGCACGAAAGCGUGGGGAGCAAACAGGAUUAGAAACCCCUGUAGUCCGACUGAGA
RNAcentral lists this ribosomal RNA (463 nucleotides) under uncultured bacterium. RNAcentral's name for it is "bacterial SSU rRNA". It matches the Rfam family "Bacterial small subunit ribosomal RNA", at positions 327 to 805 of the family's 1533-position model. The record is from RNAcentral.